UGCGAGUCGAGAGGUGUAAGACCUCGGCAUACUGCUCAGUAACACGUGGACAAUCUAACCUAUGGAAGGGGAUAACCCCGGGAAACUGGGGAUAAUACCCUAUAGACUAUGGAUGCUGGAAUGCUCUGUAGUUGAGAGGUCCGCCGCCAUAGGAUGGGUCUGCGGCCGAUUAGGUUGUUGUUGGGGUAACGGCCCAACAAGCCUGUAAUCGGUACGGGUUGUGGGAGCAAGAGCCCGGAGAUGGAUUCUGAGACACGAAUCCAGGCCCUACGGGGCGCAGCAGGCGCGAAAACUUUGCAAUGCGGGAAACCGUGACAGGGGAACUCCGAGUGCCCGUUAAAUCGGGCUGUCCAUCAGUUUAAAUAACUGGUGAAGAAAGGGCCGGGCAAGACCGGUGCCAGCCGCCGCGGUAGUACCGGCGGCUCGAGUGGUGGCCACUAUUACUGGGCUUAAAGCGUUCGUAGCUGGUUUGUUAAGUCUCUGGGGAAAUCUUCCGGCUUAACCGGAAGGCGUCUCAGGGAUACUGGCAGACUAGGGACCGGGAGAGGUGAGGGGUACUCCAGGGGUAGGAGUGAAAUCCUGUAAUCCUUGGGGGACCACCUGUGGCGAAGGCGCCUCACCAGAACGGCUCCGACAGUGAGGGACGAAAGCUGGGGGAGCAAACCGGAUUAGAUACCCGGGUAGUCCCAGCUGUAAACGAUGC
This 703-nucleotide ribosomal RNA is filed under the name uncultured archaeon. RNAcentral's name for it is "bacterial SSU rRNA". It matches the Rfam family "Archaeal small subunit ribosomal RNA", at positions 52 to 763 of the family's 1478-position model. The record is from RNAcentral.